Molecule: ribosomal RNA, 423 nt
Filed under: Aquamicrobium lusatiense
Lineage: Bacteria; Pseudomonadati; Pseudomonadota; Alphaproteobacteria; Hyphomicrobiales; Phyllobacteriaceae
Description: bacterial SSU rRNA
Rfam family: Bacterial small subunit ribosomal RNA
Source: RNAcentral
AACGAACGCUGGCGGCAGGCUUAACACAUGCAAGUCGAGCACCCCGCAAGGGGAGCGGCAGACGGGUGAGUAACGCGUGGGAAUCUACCUUUUGCUACGGAAUAACUCAGGGAAACUUGUGCUAAUACCGUAUGUGCCCUUUGGGGGAAAGAUUUAUCGGCAAAGGAUGAGCCCGCGUUGGAUUAGCUAGUUGGUGAGGUAAAGGCUCACCAAGGCGACGAUCCAUAGCUGGUCUGAGAGGAUGAUCAGCCACACUGGGACUGAGACACGGCCCAGACUCCUACGGGAGGCAGCAGUGGGGAAUAUUGGACAAUGGGCGCAAGCCUGAUCCAGCCAUGCCGCGUGAGUGAUGAAGGCCCUAGGGUUGUAAAGCUCUUUACAACGGUGAAGAUAAUGACGUAACCGUAGAAGAAGCCCCGCUAA